This 317-nucleotide long non-coding RNA is filed under the name Triticum aestivum (bread wheat). RNAcentral's name for it is "long non-coding RNA (TAES_LNC025755)". The record is from RNAcentral. Lineage: Eukaryota; Viridiplantae; Streptophyta; Magnoliopsida; Poales; Poaceae.
CAAGGGGCGAAAACUGAUGGCAGGGUUAAGUGGGCUCGCAACCUCUCGCCAACCGAAGCAGCCCCCUUCAUGACCAAGGCCUGGAUCGAUGGACAGCAGUGGCUUCCGAAGCAGCCCGCUUCAUGACCAAGCCUUGGAUCGGUGGACAGCAGUGGCUUCGGUAGAAAACUGUCGGUGGUGUGGGUUGUCAUAUAUACCUGACACAUAUCUGUGUUAUUUGAAGGAUACAAGUUAAAGGAAAAUACAUGGAUGAAUCCAGAAACAUAUGAACCCACUUAAAAAAACACAUUUCUAAACACAAAAAAUUCUAAAAAAAA